Molecule: long non-coding RNA, 615 nt
Organism: Zea mays
Lineage: Eukaryota; Viridiplantae; Streptophyta; Magnoliopsida; Poales; Poaceae
Exons: 2
Source: RefSeq, a predicted model, not a curated record
AAUUUAUUUCUUUAGGCCAUGUUCGUUUAAGCACUUCCCGCCCGGGAACAGGGACCAAACCCCGUGGACCUCCCUCGUUUGGAAAGAAGCCCAGCCCACAAAAAAACGUGCAUUCGGUUAACCCCCGUAUGGACCGUAUCCCGGUAUUUCCUCUUCGUUCCAGACCGAGAACCACGCCCGGUCCCUGCGGGGUGGAAAAUAUCUCACGCAAAGGAGCUGAGGCAUCACAAAUGAAGGGCACGAGGCGGCGGCGGUGGCGGCGACGGCUCUCCGGCGUUGAUCUACCCUGCGUCCGUGUUCUUAUAGGAGUGGCCCCUCUGGAGUUGUAUGUGGAGUUGUAAACUCUCUUUUAUCCUAGAAGAGUUUCUAAGGCGCGGUAUAAGUCCAUGAUCAUAGACUAAGAGGAUUUGACUCUAAUUACUAUCCGUUUUAUUUAUGUAGUCCUAUGAGAACAUAGAGUAUUUGCACAUUGCUUUAUUAGUUUAUUAAAGUUAAAGAUUGUAUGUGAUGAGUAUGUAUCAACUCUUGUUGGAAGUGUCUUGCAAUUUCCAACCAUAUAUUGUGUGUGUAUAUAUAUAUUGUGUAUAUACAAUGGAAGCUUGAAAAUUGUGUGAA